UACGGAGGGCGCGAGCGUUGUCCGGAAUCGCUGGGCGUAAAGGGCGCGUAGGCGGCCCUGGUAAGUCUGCGGUGAAAGCCCGGGGCUCAACCCCGGGUCGGCCGCGGGUACUGCCGGGCUGGAGUGCCGUAGGGGCAGGCGGAAUUCCGGGUGUAGCGGUGGAAUGCGUAGAGAUCCGGAAGAACACCGGUGGCGAAGGCGGCCUGCUGGGCAGUAGCUGACGCUGAGGCGCGACAGCGUGGGGAGCAAACAGG
This 254-nucleotide ribosomal RNA is filed under the name uncultured bacterium. Its description in RNAcentral is "partial 16S ribosomal RNA". It matches the Rfam family "Bacterial small subunit ribosomal RNA", at positions 524 to 776 of the family's 1533-position model. The record is from RNAcentral.